AGAGUUUGAUCCUGGCUCAGAUGAACGCUGGCGGCAGGCCUAACACAUGCAAGUCGAGCGGAUGAAGGGAGCUUGCUCCCUGAUUUAGCGGCGGACGGGUGAGUAAUGCCUAGGAAUCUGCCUAGUAGUGGGGGAUAACGUUCCGAAAGGAACGCUAAUACCGCAUACGUCCUACGGGAGAAAGCAGGGGACCUUCGGGCCUUGCGCUAUCAGAUGAGCCUAGGUCGGAUUAGCUAGUUGGUGAGGUAAUGGCUCACCAAGGCGACGAUCCGUAACUGGUCUGAGAGGAUGAUCAGUCACACUGGAACUGAGACACGGUCCAGACUCCUACGGGAGGCAGCAGUGGGGAAUAUUGGACAAUGGGCGAAAGCCUGAUCCAGCCAUGCCGCGUGUGUGAAGAAGGUCUUCGGAUUGUAAAGCACUUUAAGUUGGGAGGAAGGGCAGUAAGUUAAUACCUUGCUGUUUUGACGUUACCGACAGAAUAAGCACCGGCUAACUUCGUGCCAGCAGCCGCGGU
This 517-nucleotide ribosomal RNA is filed under the name Pseudomonas sp. Hugh2709. RNAcentral describes it as "bacterial SSU rRNA". It matches the Rfam family "Bacterial small subunit ribosomal RNA", at positions 8 to 521 of the family's 1533-position model. The record is from RNAcentral. Lineage: Bacteria; Pseudomonadati; Pseudomonadota; Gammaproteobacteria; Pseudomonadales; Pseudomonadaceae.